Molecule: long non-coding RNA, 396 nt
Filed under: Rattus norvegicus (Norway rat)
Lineage: Eukaryota; Metazoa; Chordata; Mammalia; Rodentia; Muridae
Description: long non-coding RNA NONRATT011964
Source: RNAcentral
GGAGCUGCCCAGGGAAAAAAAGCACUCGCUUUUUUUAACAUCUAAUUGAGCUUUUGACUAAUUCCGUGCACCAGAUUCUCCUGAAGAAAGGUAGCCAUGGAAGAGAAUAUGGAAGAAGGACAGACACAAAAAGGUUCAGUAAAAGCAUGAUGAUGGGGGACAACAGAAUCCUCAGCCUUCAACAGUGAUUACUGGGAGUGCAUCCUGGCCCAGAGGCAUGGUUGCUAUGGGUGUUUUGAGUGCUGCAUUAAAUGCCUGGGAGGUAUUCCCUAUGCUUCUCUGAUUGCUACCAUCCUGCUGUAUGCAGGCGUUGCCCUGUUCUGUGGCUGUGGUCAUGAAGCCCUUUCUGGAACAGUCAACAUUCUGCAGACCUACUUUGAGAUGGCAAGAACUGCU